UCUUUGGUUAAAAGGCUAUUUCUUAAUUCUGCCCUUUUCCUCUUCAAAUGCAGUUUGACUCUGGCUCUUUUGGGGACUGUAUUAUCUUCUUAUUUUUGCCAGCUCUCAUUGUAUCUCUUCUUAUAUCUCAGACUGUUUUGUUCCUUCUGUUUCCUUCUUCGGCUAGUUCCACUGAGACCAUAUCUUCUUGCAUCUCUCAGAGCCCUUAUCUAAGAUCAGCAUCUGUUUCUUGUAGAAAAGUCAAAAACAGUCAUGUUCAGAGAGGUCUGCUGCCUUCGGGUCUCGAGGACAGUUUUUCUCUCCUUCAGGCUCUAUGUCUUUCCAUUGGUCCCUUGUUGGAAUUUUUCCAUCACAUAAGAGAGCCCUUUAUUCAGAUUCAGUCUUGGCCAUCUGACGAGGUAAAUGCAGUGUCCUCAGCCUCCCUCUUGGGUGCUGGCGGUUUUCUCUCGGGAAUCGAAGCCUGCUGGACUCAAACACUCAUGCUGGCGGGCCUUGUCUGGGGUGUCUCUGCACCACACUAGGGCUACUCUUCUGCUCAGCUCUCAGGAUCUCUGAUUAGGUUAGGCUGGAGAAUCAAAUGCAGCUUGCAGAUCUUUGAGCAACCAUUCCUAGCACCCUUCCUGGCUUUGUUUGUUUUACCACUGUUGAUGUUACUUCCUCUAGCAAUUAAACCUCUGAAGAUGACACAUGCCUUCAGCCAUCCUUCUCUCUCACUGUGCUGCCGCCUUGCCAUUUAGAGAGAGGCAGUAAAGGAGGAUGAAACUAGGCUUUGACCUUGAAGAUAAUUCCUGCCUACCCAGGUAAAAGAUCACCACUAACAAAUAAUUUGAGUAAAACAAAACUGUUUCCUUCCUGCAUGGGGGAUGUCUGUCCCAUUCUGGCUCAGAGGGGGCAACCCAAGUGGUAUGAAAUCCAAGAAUGUUCUAAAUGCAUCCCAGUGGACAAUGUGGUUAGUGAAAAAUCUGCCUGGAGUUUGGCUCCCAGCCUCCUCUUUGGUCAUAGGGCUGUUGCCAGGUUUCAUAUUUGUGUGGGACUUUCUGGGAAUCUUAGGGAAUGCUGUGCGGGGUAUCAGGUGUGUCUGGUCUGCUCCUGCACUCACCUGGGUGUCUUUGGGAGUUAUAUUUGUGGCUUGAUGCAAAAACCUUCUCGUGUUUUUGUCUUCUUUUGUCAAGCCUGGGUAAUAGCUACCUCUGUCUCAUGCUCACCAUGCUCCAUUAGCAACUGUGGUUGCCUUUUGAGCAUC
Bos taurus (domestic cattle) is the source of this 1243-nucleotide long non-coding RNA. The record is from Ensembl. NCBI's taxonomy places the organism in Eukaryota, Metazoa, Chordata, Mammalia, Artiodactyla, Bovidae.